CCUACGGGGGGCUGCAGUUUCGAAUCAUUCACAAUGGGCGAAAGCCUGAUGGUGCGACGCCGCGUGAGGGAUGAAGGUCUUCGGAUUGUAAACCUCUGUCACUGGGGAAGAAACGCUUUGAGCUAACAGUUCAAAGCCUGACUUAACCCGGAGAGGAAGCAGUGGCUAACUCUGUGCCAGCAGCCGCGGUAAUACAGAGACUGCAAGCGGCGUACGGAUUCACUAGGCGGAAAAGGGGCGGAGGCGGCCAAGCCCGGGCCUUAACCCCGGAAUUGCACCUCAAACUACAUGGCUAGAGCAUUGGAGAGGGUAGCAGAAUUCAUGGUGUAGCAGUGAAAUGCGUAGAUAUCAUGAGGAAUACCAGAGGCGAAGGCGGCUACCUGGACAAUUGCUGACGCUCAGGCACGAAAGCGUGGGGAGCAAAAGGGAUUAGAUACCCCAGUAGUC
Molecule: ribosomal RNA, 447 nt
Filed under: uncultured bacterium
Lineage: Bacteria
Description: partial 16S ribosomal RNA
Rfam family: Bacterial small subunit ribosomal RNA
Source: RNAcentral